GGGAAUAUUGCACAAUGGGCGCAAGCCUGAUGCAGCCAUGCCGCGUGUGUGAAGAAGGCCUUCGGGUUGUAAAGCACUUUCAGUUGUGAGGAAGGUGGUGUCGUUAAUAGCGGCAUCAUUUGACGUUAGCAACAGAAGAAGCACCGGCUAACUCCGUGCCGGCAGCCGCGGUAAUACGGAGGGUGCGAGCGUUAAUCGGAAUUACUGGGCGUAAAGCGCAUGCAGGUGGUUUGUUAAGUCAGAUGUGAAAGCCCGGGGCUCAACCUCGGAACUGCAUUUGAAACUGGCAGACUAGAGUACUGUAGAGGGGGUAGAAUUUCAGGUGUAGCGGUGAAAUGCGUAGAGAUCUGAAGGAAUACCGGUGGCGAAGGCGGCCCCCUGGACAGAUACUGACACUCAGAUGCGAAAGCGUGGGGAGCAAACAGGAUUAGAUACCCUGGUAG
RNAcentral lists this ribosomal RNA (443 nucleotides) under uncultured bacterium. RNAcentral describes it as "bacterial SSU rRNA". It matches the Rfam family "Bacterial small subunit ribosomal RNA", at positions 357 to 793 of the family's 1533-position model. The record is from RNAcentral.